Molecule: long non-coding RNA, 1845 nt
Organism: Equus quagga
Lineage: Eukaryota; Metazoa; Chordata; Mammalia; Perissodactyla; Equidae
Exons: 3
Source: RefSeq, a predicted model, not a curated record
CAGGGCAGAUGAGGGGAUCAGAUGAGGGAGGGACCCAGACCCAUCACUGCUCAGAAGCCCCCAGCAGCUCCUCACUGCACUCGGAACAAAGUCCAGUCUCCUCUGCAGCUCCCAGGGCCCUGUGUGAUCUGGCCCCUGGCCGCCUCUCCAGCCGCAUGUCCUCACCCACUACACUCCAGCCUCACAGGCGGGGCUGGUCCCCACCACAGGGCCUUUGCACAUGCAGGUCUCUCUGCCUGAAACGCUGUCCCUCCUCUGUUGGUCUCAGUGCAAAUGUCGCCUCCUGAGAGAGCCCCUCCUCGACCACCGCAUCUAAAUGUCUAAAGACAGCUCUCCCCCGACCCCCGCCUUCCCUCUCUCUCUGUUCUUUUCCUUCUGAACACUGAGCACACUGUGCAUAUGUGUGUGAGUAAAGUUAUAUAUACACAUACACACACCUGUAUGUAUACUGUGUGUGUUUAUUUAUUUAACUUUGCGUGUUCCCCAUCCCCCCAUUUCAAGGGCAGGGACUAAGGAUGGUAUACUCUGUGAAGGGCACACAAUGGUGCUCAGUAAAUGGUGAAGUGUGAAACCCUAAGAUCCAUAUCUGGAGGAGAUCUAAUGUAGUUGUUCCAUUUUUCACAUGAGGAAACCAAGGCCCAGACAGGGAAAGUGACUUUCCCAAGGUCCCCCAGCAGGCGGGAUCAGGACUGGAGCCAGGUCUCCUGCCUCCCCCUGCCCUUCCCUCCAUCCCACACAGGUUGGCAGCUCUGAGACAGCUGGAAGUAAACCCUGCAAUUCUACGUCUGCAGAGAUUCUUACAGCAGUGGGCAAGGACAUACGUGCAAGGCGUCUUUGCAGCCUCACUUGUUAUAGAGUGAAAAAUAAAAAUCUAGGUGUCAUCGAUAAGGAAUUGGUAAAAUAAGUCAGCUUAUGUUCAUACAACGCACAAUACUAUGCAGCUGUUAAAAAGAAUGGGGUUGUUCUCUGCGUGUUGACGUUGAGAGGAGCAAACAAGGUGCGGGACCGUGUGUUUAGAAUGUUCCCAUCUAUCCAUGUUUAUAUGUGUGUAGAAAAAGUCUGUCAGGAUAUGCUCCAAAAUGGCAAAGGUGGUUACCCUGAGAAUAGGACUUAGGGAAAAAGGGGAAGAGCUGUUGGGGUGGACUUUUACUUUUACUUUUGCUUUAUAUAUUUUUGCACUGUUUUCUAUAAUGAUUUUCAGUUUUCAAAAAUCAAUGGAGCACAGACAGGUGGAUAGAAAUGUGAUAAAGCAAGGAUAGGAAAAGGUUAACAGAAGAAUCUAGGUGGUAAGUAUACAGAUGUUCUCUAUAAAAGUCUUUCAACUUUGCUGUAAGUGUGGAAGCUUUCACAAUAAAAUGUUGGGGGAAAAUCAGUGAAACAAAGAAAAAGAACUUUCCAGAGAGGUCAUGAUGGGAAGCCUGGCGAAUGGUCCUCCCACGCUGAGACUGGCAGGUGUGCAGGUGGUGUCUCCAGCUGGGGACAGUUACAUCUCGUUGAACCCAUUGACGCCCCCCUGGACCUGCUCAGGACGGACCUGCAGGAUUCUAAAGGCCAACACGCACUUUGCCCUUUGUCCAGGCGGCCGCCCUCAUUCAGCUGCUGUCACUGAGAGAGCUGGAGCCCUGGCCGGAGACUUCUGGCCAGUCCAGAGGGAGCGUGGGACUGACCGUCAGCACCCCUGACCCUCCCACUGUCCGCCUGGAUGGCCACACAGCCAUGGCCCUCCAGCCGGGCUCAUUGGUGCUGCGGGGGCCCAGCAACACCUCCUCUGUUUCCGUUUCCUGGAAACUACUUUCAAAGGCCAUGUUUUCCUCAAAAAAUCAGGAAUUAGAACUCCAGUUCACU